UCCAGAUGAAGCAAGGAGUGUUCAUGCUGUCCGUGUAUGCUCCUCGCAUUUCACCGAUAAUGUGUACCUGGAUGAGAACAUCAUGGAAGUGCAACUUGGAUUGACACAAAAAAGGAACGAAUUGAAACUUGACGCCGUUCCGACAGUGUUCCACGAACAAAGCGAGCCAGCAACUUCGACACUGCAGGCAGUUCGACAGGGUCAAGCGCAAGUGAAGGACCAGGUGCUGCUGAUCAAGUCCCAUCCAUCCAUGAAACGGCAUCAAACAAUGUACGUGUGUGCACGGCAAUUUUGCUGAGAGACCUGGUUUUUACACUAAUGCCUUUACGACGCCUCUGACAAAUUAGGAUCUUCCAGAACAGUGCUUUCUUCAUCCAAGUUCAAGAAGUAAAGAGAAUGACUUCAUGGCUUCUACUGACAUCUCACAGCUACAUGCCAAGACAAAAUAACUUGACAGCAGGAAAUGAAAAGAAAAAAAAAGGUCCGUUUCAGGUCCACCCAAAUCUUUGUGCAGAGGCUGACAACAACAACGCUAUUGUGAGAUGAUGAAUGAUGCUGAUGCAGCGUUGAGAUUAAGCCCUUGUUUCCUUUUUUGCAAUGCUAUACAUUACUGCUGGUUAAAUGUAAAAUGAUGCACCUACCUCCAGACAUUAAAGGGGCUACCAGAGAUGUAGUGUCAAUUCAACAGAAAACCUGCAUGUUCUACGAGGCACUGUCACAUAAGCAUUGGCCAAAUUUGCUGUCCUGUGAGCUUUGAUAGGAUAUGCCGUAGAUAGUAAGAGGCCUCUUACUGUAAAAGGGAGGUGCAUUAAUCGAGUAGUGGGGUCUGAGGCAUGAGGGCCAUUUCAGGAUGUACUAACCCUUCUAAAAUUU
Molecule: long non-coding RNA, 873 nt
Organism: Ornithodoros turicata
Lineage: Eukaryota; Metazoa; Arthropoda; Arachnida; Ixodida; Argasidae
Exons: 3
Source: RefSeq, a predicted model, not a curated record